This 4037-nucleotide long non-coding RNA is filed under the name Nicotiana tabacum (common tobacco). RNAcentral's name for it is "long non-coding RNA (NTAB_LNC012426)". The record is from RNAcentral. Lineage: Eukaryota; Viridiplantae; Streptophyta; Magnoliopsida; Solanales; Solanaceae.
GAGUUGCGAGUAUGAGCCAUUUCUGCGAGUUUUGGAGAAAAGAAUACAUUAGAUAAUUUCAUAGGGGUAGGCUCUAUUUUACGAUCUAAAGUAUGAAAAAAAUGAGACUUUUCCUAAAUGCUUGUAGCCUCCUGUUUAUAAGUAUGACGCGCUUCAUACACAUAAACAAGACUCUACUAACACGGUUUCAUAGACCCCUAGGACUCCAUAAACCUGAGGCUCUGAUACAAAGUUUGUCACGACCCAAGACGGGACCGACACUUGAUAACUAAACAUGACCGAGCGAACUAUCUAUGCUUAUCAAAUCUAUUAUAACUCCAACUUUCUAUGCAACAAGGCAAUACUCUAACCAAAUACUUUUGAUUAAUUUAAAUAUUUAAAUAAAUCAACUCCAAAACUUUAUUCGUAAUAACUACUAAAUUACUGCUCAGUUAUUAUCAAAAACAUCUGAAUCUUAACCCAACGACUAUGUCUAUGAAACCUCUACUGAUAAACUGACACACUGCUCAAGACAUGAGAUUUCCUGGUCAGUUAUCUAAGUAAACAAAAAAUAACUAAAUAAAGAUGACUCAAUGGAAUACUCCACGAACAGAAGCGGAGCUCACCAAUAGCACUAAAAGAGAAGGAAGUCCUAACCCAUAGCUUGCUCGCCUGCAAAAUCAGUUCCUACGUUGUACUGCAGACCAACGUAGUUUCCCAAAAAAGAACGUCAGUACCAUCUAUUGUACUCGGUGAGUCUCAACAAUUGGGGAAAAACUUUAAUAACAUAUACAUUUACGAGCAAAGGUUCAAAGUGUAUGUAAAAUAUAAAGCUUAUAAGAAUAGCUCUAAAAUAAUUACAUAAUAGCAGUUUAUGAAUAUUCUAAAAGAAAUUCUUUUCUCUUUCUAAACAAAUUACUUCUCUUUAUACCUUGGGAGUUCCAACUAUCCUGACUUAAUUCUGUCUCAUUCACCGUGUGAUCGGCACGGGUUCUAUCCCAACCUGAUCGAAUAGGCUCAAUCCACGAGGUGUCACUCGCUUCAUGGUUCUCAGCGCUCAUGUAUCAUAGCUUAGCAUAGCUAAGUAAAUUCUCAACAAUGAGACCCUCGGCUCAUGUGCUCCCAACUUUGGCACAAGUAGUUUCAGGAAGUCAACGCCUUGGUCAGAACCCUCGGUCGGGACGAUGACCCUUUUUUAGAAUAAAGGAUACUCCCAAAAAUCUUUUCUUUCUAAAACAUCUUCUUGUGACUUUUCAAGUCUAGAUCUUUUCUUUAUAGAAUAUCAUGUACAUGCUCAUGCUGGUAUCCUUAAAUGUAAAGUCUGUCAGAAGAAUGAAAUAAACAUGUAAAAGUAUUCCUAAAGAUUCUUAAUUAUUCAUAAAUUUUCAACAUGAAAAUAGCAUAUAAGAAUAACACAAAAAUCUGAAAAUAUGCACGUAUAUCAUAAUAAAUCGUCUAAACUUUUGCUAGAACAAUUCUAAGUUAAUAGAUACUCACUCGCUCCAAUUAAGUAAAUAUAAACUCUUUUAAGCAAUUCAUCAAACACCUUGUAUGCGUGCUUUUGUGAGUUAAACCACUUUAGUAAAGGGUUGUAUCAACACACCUCAAUAUUCCUUUAGUCCAAUUUAUAUUCAUCAAAUAAUUGAUUCUACAACAACCAGUGAGUUUUAUUUGAUUCCAAAGUUUCACACCCAAACAUGAAAUUUGAUGGUGAUACAGAGAAGGAAAAAAAUUAACUAUUCAACUUUUACCUAUUACUACUAUGAGGUAAUUGACAAUAGAGAAUUUCACAUACCUGAGUUUAAGAAUUAGUGAUUUGCAAAGAACCCUAGAAUUUUCUUUGCCUGUGUAAGUAUUUCGCUAACGCCUCUUUAGUUUUUUGUUGGGCAACAUAAUGUCGAGCUUUGUUUUAAAUUUUCCUAAGGCUUACGCCUUUUGCAUGCUUAUUGCCAAGAGUUCUUUAUGGGCUUUGUUGCACGUGACUUUUUUUUUUUUUUAACUUAACUAGUAUUUAAUUAUUCCUACUUUCAAUAAUUGGUAAUAUUAAAAUUAUUAAUAUUCCCUAAUUGUACAUCCAUUUAUUUAUAAAUAGAGAAGUAACUCAAAAUCAAUCACAAGUGUUUUAAUCUGUAAUAAAAGUAUAAUUUAAGAUUAUAAAAAUUAAAUUUUAUAUUUAGCGAGUCUUGAAAUUUUUAUAGGUUUGAGGAGUGUUACAAGAACAAAGUAAAAUAAUUUUUGUGUAACAAAAGAAAGAAAAGUGACUUUUGGAUAAUGAGCAUGUUAGAAAAUAAUAAUCAAAAUUGGCUUUGAGGCGUGAAAAUCGACUGUCCUUAAAGAGUUAUCGCCUGUAUACUAAUUUAGGAAAAAUACAAAACGAUUCUCUUCAGGAUACAACAAAGCCUGCAGUAACACUUGUGAUUUUCUAUAUCCACUUCGUUGGAAUUCUUGUGUAUUUAUAGGCAACCAAUAGACCAUUUCAGAAAAGAUGUCUUGUUUCACAAACAGACACGUCUAUUUAUUCGAAUUUUGAAUUUAAAAUUCAAAUAAAUAAAUAAUUAACUCUAGGAUCUCGUGCCUGUUGAGUCAAUCUCGUGCCUGUUGAGACAAUCUCAUGCCUGUUGAGUCAGUCGCGUGCCUGUUGAGACAAUCUCGUGCCUGUUGAGACAAUCUCGUGUCUGUUGAGACAAUCUCGUGCCUGUUGAGGCAAUCUCGUGCCUGUUAUGUGCUAUUUCAUAAUGAUCAGUUCCGAGGCUAACAGGCACGGUACGAGUAAGGUCGGUCCCGGGAGUGUUUCACAUGACAGGCACGGAACUUCUUUCUUCCGAUGUGGGAAGAAUCCAACUUCCAACUUGCCAAUAACAAACUAUCUUACAGAGCAUAAGGUAGAAUGACUUUUACGUAACGAAAAAAAAAGUAACUUUUGGGUAAUGAAUACAAAAUUAAACGGCUACUCAUAAAAUUUACUCGUUAUAAUUGCGGACCUAGAAAUAACAAGUCCUUUUAAUUGGUUUUUGACUUUGACAUAGGAGGAAACUUCUGCACAAAAAUCUGCAAAAUAUUUAUGUACACAAACACACGCACAUAGGCACACUCAGAUUUUAAUAAAUUUACUCAAACUCAAACUAGUCCCCGUAUUCCUAUAGGAGUGAACCUUGACAACAUCUGACCUAGCAAAUUUUGUACUGAUGCCAAAAUCCUAAUAAAUAUAGAGAAGUUUACGGAAGUCGUUCUUCAGAUGAUAAUACUCAAACGUAAGAACGUUAAGCUAAAUGUCAGCAUGUGAAAGAUCUUGGUUAAAUCACGAGGAGAGAGCUUAUAUUCGUAUAGCUUGGCGUGAAUAAAAGAUCUAUGUAUUUCAUGACCAAGUCUAAAAUCGAAGGCAAACUCGAAACACAAAAAACAAAAACAAAAUUGAAAAUCAGCAUAGCAUAAAUGCUCAAAAAGGACAUAAUCUAUUCCUUUCAUUUAGGGAAAGUCGUCAAUGCUCAAACCAGAUUUUUUUUCUUUCUCAAACUGAGAAACAGACCAUUAAUGUGAUAAACGGACAUAACAGUCGCAACAUAUUACCUCUUUUAUAUCUAAUAAAUUUCAUAUAUGCUUCACAUAGAUUUAACGAAGGGAAAGAAUUAACAAACAAGCAAAAAGAAGUAACAACAAAUAAGAGCUACUGGAGGAAAAAAACGAAUAACUUACAUUUAUCAGAGAACCACUCGUUAUAAUCAUUACAGGUAUUCCUCGUCGACUUUUAUAGUGGGAAUUUGAGCAAUUUUGGCCAAAAAUCCCCCUUCUCAAAUUCUAGACUUGGUUUGAGCAAUGGGCAGCUAGAAAUAUAUAGGGCAACGAAAGAUAUCCAGCUUAGAUAGGGAUUGGAGAUUACCGCAAUAACAGAUGUGCAGCAGAGAGAGGAAGGACGGCUCAAAAAGAAGUAACAACAAAUAAAGAGCUACUGGAGGAACUCUUGUAGAAAAGUUUGCUCAAAUUUUCCUUGCCUAGUGAGCCUGGGUACGAGGUGGAGCUCUCCUUGAGCCAGGCGUCACCAGGCCUUGGGCGAGGGCUCU